This 1335-nucleotide long non-coding RNA is filed under the name Brachypodium distachyon (stiff brome). Its description in RNAcentral is "long non-coding RNA (BDIS_LNC005016)". Lineage: Eukaryota; Viridiplantae; Streptophyta; Magnoliopsida; Poales; Poaceae. The record is from RNAcentral.
UUAUUACCUUAAUUUAUGCAUAUACGUACAUACAUGCACGUGCAUAUAUAUUCUCUUGCUUCUGAUUUGGCCCUCCUUUCUGCAGUUAAAUUCUUGCUUUCUCUUCUUGUUUCCAUUUCGGUUUUCUUUUUGUUGGUUAUAUAUCUUUCCGAUCUCGACGAUACUCUGGGUUGUGGAUAUAGUUGGAUUUGCUGUGUCUGGUUCGGCUGUGGGCGUGGAUCGGUGCAGAUCUGUUUUUGUUUCUGCUUUCUGAUUUCUUGAUGCACAGCAGCUGUGUUGCUCAUCUAAGCAGAUAUAUCAUGGAUCGACUGCUGGGGUAACUCGAUCUCCUUCCUCGGUUCGGAUCUACUCCUUCCCUUAGCUAUAUUGCUUCGAUUUGAUCGAUGUGCUUAAUUGAUUCUUUCUAGAACAAAGCAGAUCAAUCAAAGACAGAUGGAUGUCAACGUAGGGUCACGCUUAGGUUUUUGUUGUGGAGAUGUAUCGAUUAGUUCUGUGCCAAGCAAAUUUGACGAUCUGAAACUUUCAGUUUUGUGCUGGAUCGAUGUUUAAAACAUAGCUGUUGUUACCUAGCUUCUUCGCAGUUUUGGUUCCUCUUAAAACCCUGACUUUUCUGGCAGUUCGAAUUUCCUUUUCUUUUUCUUCAUUUGAUCGAUGUUUAAUGUAUAUUUAUUAUCCGAUGCAAAUAUUUAUCUCUCUUCGAUUUAUGGAAAGACGACUAUAUAUUCCUUUCAGUUGUGUGUGUGCACGUACGUGCAGUCCAGCAUUGGGAUUUUUAUUUUUUUUGACUGGGGCCACAGGGCCAGCAUGGGAUCUUCUACCAAUCUAUCCCUUUUUAGGUAAUAAAUCAGUUAUUCUUUUAAAAGCAAUACAAUCAGAUAGAAACAGAAAACAAGCAAGGUCCCGGCUAUUGCAUCUUUGGCUAGAAAACCUACACAAGCUAGCUAGCUUGAUUUUUUUUUGCACAAAAGCUAGCUUGGAUCUCCUCCAAUAGCUUUUAAAGCUGCAAUAUAAACUCAUCUACAAUGGGCGACAAAGGCAUCACUGUUCGUACAUCAGUCUAGGACACGACACACCCCGAGCCUAGCAGGCGGUAUCAGAUCUAGAGUAGUCAUCAAUCCAGCACAUUGUACAUGGAGUCUCAUAUCCAGAAUGAAGAAGGCCGUAGUAGACAAGACAACAACAACACAGAAACCCACAAGAUAUACAUUGGAGCAGAUCCGCGAGAACAUACCCUCAUUGUCUCCAUGCCGAUGUAUGGUGAACAAGACGUUGCCCUUGACAGGGAUAUAGAGCCAGAGGCACUUAUAUUUCCAUGCAACGAUGUUUCAAUGGCCA